AGCAUUCUGAGAAGGAUCUAGAGGUGCCACCACGAACAUUCUGAAGGAGGCUGAUAGAGCGGACAACCCACCAAGUCUGGGAGUUGACUUGACAGCCCUGCCCACGAGAAGCUGGCUAAGACAGCACAGUAGAAAUGUGGCCUGAAGAUUGGGGCACAAACACAGCACAAAUCUAUCAUAACCGAGUCUUAAAUUUGCUUUACAUGUGAAAACCAUAUACUCACACACCAACAAGAACUCACCCCAGCUGGCCUAAGCUAAGGAAUCUACAGUCCUUGGAA
This 281-nucleotide long non-coding RNA is filed under the name Homo sapiens (human). RNAcentral's name for it is "non-protein coding lnc-TNFAIP3-14:1". Lineage: Eukaryota; Metazoa; Chordata; Mammalia; Primates; Hominidae. The record is from RNAcentral.